GGCCUACGGGAGGCAGCAGUGAGGAAUAUUGGUCAAUGGGCGGGAGCCUGAACCAGCCAAGUCGCGUGAGGGAAGACGGUCCUAUGGAUUGUAAACUUCUUUAGUCAGGGAACAAAGGGUGCCACGCGUGGCGCUGUGAGUGUACCUGAAGAAUAAGCAUCGGCUAACUCCGUGCCAGCAGCCGCGGUAAUACGGAGGAUGCGAGCGUUAUCCGGAUUUAUUGGGUUUAAAGGGUGCGUAGGCGGUUUGUCAAGUCAGCGGUAAAAAUUCCGGGCUCAACCCGGUCCCGCCGUUGAAACUGGCGG
This 305-nucleotide ribosomal RNA is filed under the name uncultured bacterium. RNAcentral's name for it is "bacterial SSU rRNA". It matches the Rfam family "Bacterial small subunit ribosomal RNA", at positions 335 to 639 of the family's 1533-position model. The record is from RNAcentral.